UACGAACCGUACAAACGUUAUUCGGAAUCACUGGGCUUAAAGGGUGCGUAGGCGGCCAUGUAAGUGAGGUGUGAAAUCCCUCGGCUCAACCGAGGAACUGCGCUUCAUACUGCAUGGCUUGAGGGAGACAGGGGUAAGCGGAACUGAUGGUGGAGCGGUGAAAUGCGUUGAUAUCAUCAGGAACACCGGUGGCGAAGGCGGCAUCCUGGACCGGCACUGACGCUGAUGAGCGAAAGCCAGGGGAGCAAACGGG
Molecule: ribosomal RNA, 253 nt
Filed under: uncultured bacterium
Lineage: Bacteria
Description: partial 16S ribosomal RNA
Rfam family: Bacterial small subunit ribosomal RNA
Source: RNAcentral